RNAcentral lists this ribosomal RNA (305 nucleotides) under uncultured bacterium. RNAcentral's name for it is "bacterial SSU rRNA". It matches the Rfam family "Bacterial small subunit ribosomal RNA", at positions 335 to 639 of the family's 1533-position model. The record is from RNAcentral.
UGCCUACGGGGGGCAGCAGUGAGGAAUAUUGGUCAAUGGCCGAGAGGCUGAACCAGCCAAGUCGCGUGAGGGAAGACGGCCCUACGGGUUGUAAACCUCUUUUGUCGGGGAGCAAAGCGAACCACGUGUGGUUCAUUGAGAGUACCCGAAGAAAAAGCAUCGGCUAACUCCGUGCCAGCAGCCGCGGUAAUACGGAGGAUGCGAGCGUUAUCCGGAUUUAUUGGGUUUAAAGGGUGCGCAGGCGGGAGAUCAAGUCAGCGGUAAAAUGUCGGGGCUCAACCCCGGCCGGCCGUUGAAACUGGUUU